Small nucleolar RNA from Sorghum bicolor (sorghum), 107 nucleotides. It matches the Rfam family "Plant small nucleolar RNA R71". From Rfam's summary of the family: R71 is a member of the C/D box family of snoRNAs containing the C (UGAUGA) and D (CUGA) box motifs. Multiple nearly identical copies of this snoRNA have been identified in Arabidopsis, and it is thought to function as a 2'-O-ribose methylation guide for 18S ribosomal RNA. The record is from Rfam. Lineage: Eukaryota; Viridiplantae; Streptophyta; Magnoliopsida; Poales; Poaceae.
AUUCCAUGAUGGGGACAUUCUAGGAUGUAGUCUUGGAAGCGCAGCCAUGCUUCUCGAACGGAUUCAUCAUGUUGUUGCUGAAAACUUGUCAUCUACUCACGGAGAGC